CUAGGAACAUUCACUUCCUAGCUUGAAUUCAAAUCUUUUUUUAAUUGAUCUGUUUUGUAAAUUGUGGUUACUAUGACAAUAAAUUGAUUCACUUCAAAAGCUAUUAACAGCAGAUUGGCUCUUCUGUUUUCUUUGUUGAGAAUAUUAUAAUAGGUAAAAUGUCAGCAAUAACCAAGAAAAUUCCAGGGACAGAGAAAAAUGGCACAGGAAUUUUGCAAGAUAUGAUAUGCCUCCUGAUGCAUUAUAGAAUUUAAUUUAUGAUGGGUAAUUGAGAGAUAUUAAUUCAUCCCAUGUGAAAAACCAGAAGCACAGGUUUAAGAAUGAUAACCUUUCUUUGGUUUUCACCUAAUUUCAUUCAAUACUUCAAAUCAAUAUUUAUUGAUCUUCUACUAUGAGCCAAGAACUGUGCUAAGUACUAAAAAUAAAAAGAAGAAUAAGACAGACUCUUCAUCCAAUGAUGAAGCUACCAGCCUGAAUCGUCAUGGGCACAAUGGAGAAACAUUAAAGUCAGAAAAAAACAUGAAGCUGAUGCAAGGGAAAGGACCAAGAUCAGAAAUCCAAAGGAAACACCCAGCUCACUUUAGACCUUGACUUUAGGCUUCCUUCACAUUCGAAUUGUAAUGCACUGGAGGAUGUUGCAUCAUGGGACGCAAUCCUGGGCCAAAAGUCUGUACGGUCCUUUGCACCUGGUCCUGUGAUGGCAGAACCUUUCAUCUCAUCUUUAUUAUUAUUGUUAUUUUUUUACUAUGACUCCGGUGUUAUCUUCAAAUUAAAAAAAAAAUUGUUAUUAGUUUCAUUGUCGAAUGACCAUUUUUGCUCUUGAACUUCUGCAUAUACCUUCCUUCUGAGCUCUGAUUUGCCUUUCUUGACUGUGGCCAUCACCAUGGCACCCACAGCAAUAUUGGAAAGUCUAUUCAGCUGUACCUUGAUCUCUUUCAUCACAAUGACAUACGGAUUUUCAGCUUCUGUCCCAUCAGCAUAGUGGAUCACUGCUCCUAAGGAAGACCAAGGGCAAUCGAAAUUUACAUCACAGGACCCACCAUGUCCUGGCUUCAACAUUUUUAAUGCUGGAAAGGGACAGAAAGGAAAUGGAUACACAGGACAUUGGGAUAUGAAUUUUGACACCCCAUCCUCUCUCUUCACAUCUUAGUUCUCUAAUCCUGAAAGGUUAAAAAAACCUUUAACAUGUUCCCACUCUUAAAAAUCUCAUUUGAUCAUGCUGGGUUAGAAACUCGUAGUAAUUAAGAAUAGCAACUACAAUUUCUUAAGCACUUACAUUGUGCCAAUACCAUUAUAAGCAAUUGACAUAAAUUAACCCCAGUUGUAAGCACAUUUUAAAGAUGAGGAUGCUGAAGCUCAGAGGACUUAAAAUACUGCUCACAUUCAAAUAACUAGUAAUCGGCAAAUCCUGUAUUAGAGUUCAGAUCUGCAAAACUGCAGAGUCUGUGUUCUUCCUAUUGUCACAAAAUUUCUUCAGUCUUCAAGUCACUUCCACUUCAUUUCCUACAGGGAAGAAAAUAGAUUGACUUCAUAGCUUAUUAUCCUCCAUCAUCUUUCAGUUAUUCAGGAUCUAU
Macaca mulatta (Rhesus monkey) is the source of this 1574-nucleotide long non-coding RNA. Lineage: Eukaryota; Metazoa; Chordata; Mammalia; Primates; Cercopithecidae. The record is from Ensembl.